Molecule: unclassified non-coding RNA, 377 nt
Filed under: uncultured Actinomycetes bacterium
Lineage: Bacteria; Bacillati; Actinomycetota; Actinomycetes
Description: uncultured actinobacterium contains 16S-23S intergenic spacer region
Source: RNAcentral
UCCGGCUCUACGCCGGCAGUCUCUCUAGAGUCCCCGCCAUCACGCGCUGGCAACUAGAGACGAGGGUUGCGCUCGUUGCGGGACUUAACCCAACACCUCACGGCACGAGCUGACGACAGCCAUGCAACACCUGUCACGGGCCCUUACGGACCCUGCAUCUCUGCAGGUUUUCCCGUGAUGUCAAGCCCAGGUAAGGUUCUUCGCGUUGCCUCGAAUUAAGCCACAUGCUCCGCCGCUUGUGCGGGUCCCCGUCAAUUCCUUUGAGUUUUAGCCUUGCGGCCGUACUCCCCAGGCGGGGUGCUUAAUGCGUUAGCUGCGGCACAGAACGCGUCGAUAGCGUCCCACACCUAGCACCCAUCGUUUACGGCUAGGACUAC